This is a non-coding RNA of Erythranthe guttata (spotted monkey flower), 196 nucleotides long. The record is from Rfam. NCBI's taxonomy places the organism in Eukaryota, Viridiplantae, Streptophyta, Magnoliopsida, Lamiales, Phrymaceae.
AUACCUUUCUCGGCCUUUUGGCUAAGAUCAAGUGUAGUAUCUGUUCUUAUCAGUUUAAUAUCUGAUAUGUGGGCCAUCGGCCCACACGAUAUUAAAUUAAUAUUUUUAGGGGGAGGGCCCGCCACGUCAGCUUGCUGACUGGGCCUUCGCGCGUCGCCCAUGCGUUGCACUACUGCACGGGCCUGGCGCACCCCAC